UUUUUAAAUUAAGUUGUAACAGGGACAUCAUAAGUACUCUGUCAGGGAAAGGGACAGCAGCAGAAGAAGGAGGACAGUUGGCUGCCUUUCCUAGUGAUUCUACUUCGGGCUCUGAGAGAAGUCAAUUCAAAGCUGUAUUGGAAGAAGCAGCUCAUUCCUCAGGACUAGCACCUCACCAGAUUUGUCUCUUGCUGCUCUGAUUGCUGAAGGACAUAGCUCUCCCAAGUAUUUG
This 232-nucleotide long non-coding RNA is filed under the name Monodelphis domestica (gray short-tailed opossum). RNAcentral's name for it is "lncRNA (ENSMODG00000045850.1)". Lineage: Eukaryota; Metazoa; Chordata; Mammalia; Didelphimorphia; Didelphidae. The record is from RNAcentral.